This 250-nucleotide ribosomal RNA is filed under the name uncultured bacterium. Its description in RNAcentral is "partial 16S ribosomal RNA". It matches the Rfam family "Bacterial small subunit ribosomal RNA", at positions 28 to 269 of the family's 1533-position model. The record is from RNAcentral.
GACGAACGCUGGCGGCGUGCCUAACACAUGCAAGUGGAGCGACGAACCUAGGGCUUCGGCCUGGGGCAAAGCCGCGAACGGGUGAGUAACACGUGGGUAACCUGCCCUGAUGAUCGGGACAACCCGGGGAAACUCGGGCUAAUACCGAAUGUGCCCUCCGGCCUCAAGGCCGCUGGGGAAAGGAAGCUUCGGCCUCCGCAUCGGGAUGGGCCCGCGGCCCAUUAGCUUGUUGGUGAGGUAACGGCUCACC